This 476-nucleotide long non-coding RNA is filed under the name Pan troglodytes (chimpanzee). RNAcentral's name for it is "long non-coding RNA NONPTRT010134". The record is from RNAcentral. Lineage: Eukaryota; Metazoa; Chordata; Mammalia; Primates; Hominidae.
UUUGCAGCCCCCAGAACAAGGACCCCAGAGACAGAGUGAGAGAGGGCAAGAGAAGGCAAGAUGCAAGUCACACUCUUUUUGUAACCUAAUCCCAUCACAUUUCCUGAAUUCUGCUCAUUAGAAAGAAGUCACUAGAUUCAGCCCACAUUCAAGAUGAGAAAUACCAGAAGACAGAGAACACUGAGGCUGUUUUAGAGGCUGUCAACCCCAGGGAGACAGACAGCAAAUAAGUAAGCAAAUAAAUAAAAAUGGAAGGUGAUAAUAAGUGCAAUGAAAAGAAAUGAAGCAGAGUAAAGAAUCAAGAGUAGCAGUUGAGGGGAUGCUUGGAUGUUUUCACACCACUCUGACACAUGGAUGGAAGGUUAGAAGACAACAAAGGAAUGGGCUGGGAAGGACUCCAAAAGCAGAAUCAGAGAUUAUAUCAUUCCUUGGAAAUGGAGAAAAGGAUAAAAAAAGCUGAAUAAAAGGUAGUCCCA